RNAcentral lists this ribosomal RNA (468 nucleotides) under uncultured bacterium. RNAcentral describes it as "partial 16S ribosomal RNA". It matches the Rfam family "Bacterial small subunit ribosomal RNA", at positions 28 to 507 of the family's 1533-position model. The record is from RNAcentral.
GACGAACGCUGGCGGCGUGCUUAAUACAUGCAAGUCGAGCGGAAGGACGCUGCUUUUGUUUCUUUCUCGAUUGGCGAACGGGUGAGUGACACAUGUGUAACCUGUCCUUGACUUUCGGAGAACUUCAGGGAACUGGGUCUAAUACCGCAUAUAAUCUCCUGCUGCGUGUUGUGGGUUGGUAAGAUUCGGCGGUUGUGGAUGGUCUCGCUGCUUAUCAGCUUGUUUGUGGGGUAGUUGAUUACCAGGGCUUUGACGGGUAGCCGGCCUGAGAGGGUGACCGGCCACCUUGGGACUGAGAGACGGACCAGACUCGUACGGGAGGCAGUAGUGGGAAGUAUUGCACAACGGGCGGAAGCGUGAUGCAGAAACCCCGCGUGCGGGAUGCCGGCCUUCGGGGUGUAAACCGAUUUCGACUGUGACGAAGCGUGCGUGACGGUAACGGGUCAAGAAGCACCGGCUAACUACGUG